UCAUGUUCACUGUUAUAUUUGUAUCUCUGUGGCUUUCACUAGGUGACUCCAUGGCAGAUUCAGUAGAGCAACUUUUCACUAAUAAAGUUGUAAAUGAAGGUGAUAAUGUUACUCUGUCCUGCAAAUACAAAAGCAGUGCUUCAGUAAGCUAUAUCCAGUGGUACAGGAAAUAUCCAACAUCUCACCCUGAGUUCCUGCUUUAUAUUGAUACAAGUGGGUAUAAAAGUGACCCGGUCCCACCACGUCUAAAUGUUUAUAUUGAUAAAAAGAUGGAACAAGUGGAUCUGCUCAUAUCCUCUGCUGCUGUAUCAGACUCUGCACUAUACUACUGUGCUCUGCAG
Molecule: non-coding RNA, 341 nt
Organism: Hemibagrus wyckioides
Lineage: Eukaryota; Metazoa; Chordata; Actinopteri; Siluriformes; Bagridae
Source: the annotation of a RefSeq genome assembly